This 897-nucleotide long non-coding RNA is filed under the name Equus asinus (donkey). RNAcentral describes it as "lncRNA (ENSEASG00005026778.1)". Lineage: Eukaryota; Metazoa; Chordata; Mammalia; Perissodactyla; Equidae. The record is from RNAcentral.
GUUUCAUGAUCGUGGGAGCUGCGUAAGCAGCGGUUGUCCGUCUGUUGCGUCUGAAUCUGAUGCAAGGCCUGAGGUCAGCAGGGCUAGCACUUGUUAAGGAAAGAUGGACACGGUUUGAGAGAAAGUAAAGACAAAAUAGAACCCAUGAGAAUAAACUGAAACCUACAUCUGUCUUUAGAACACACAUUGGUCUCUAGUCACCUCCAGGGCUUCAACUUGGAUGAUGCAAGUGACCUGCAGAAAAGCGUGCGCAAUCCGUCAUGGAACCAAAUAGGAACUGAGCUCAGGACUUUACGAAACUGAAGGAAGACGUCCGCAGGAGCUACAGGAGCUGCGGGUCCAGCAGCUGACCCUCGCCAGCAAUGUGGGCCAGCAUAUCAGCAACUGCAUAUAUAAGCUGCAAAAUUAUCCCCCCCACGUUGACCUGUGUAAGAGCAUAUGCUUACUGCGUGAGUUCCACAAGGUGUUUUGUAACUCAGAAAAUCUCAGUCAGGAACUACUAAUCAAAUGCCAGCCUUGCUUGUGACUGCAUACAUCCUCACACCGAGUCAGAUGGGAAGAACCAACAAUUUAUGCUGUGCAGAAAAGACCUCUAGAGAAAAGUGAUCAACAGGAAAUAACACAAUAAUUUGCCUUUGAAUUCUCAAAGUAAAAUCUAUUUAUCUUCUCCAUGUGGAACGGCCUACUCUCAGCAUCUUUGCAUUCAGCUGUGUUGAGUUGGGGAGGAGAAAACUAGCAGGAAAAUUUGUGAGCAUAUCCUUUUUCAUUAAAAUGACACAUCUUAGGAAAAUGUUCCCAAGUUCUGUGCAAUUAAUUGGACUUCCUAGGAUUUUGAGUAGGAAAUUUUGACUCCUAUAUAUUAACUUUAAGAAGUUAUGUUUUCUGCAAUAACUGGAU